CCGAAAUCCAUACAUAUUUUGAUAUAUACUAAAUGGAAAUCUGAUUUUACAAAUUUAUUAAUGUAGUAAUGAAUGUCGUGAAUCACGAGAAACAUAUUAAAAAGAAAAUUAAUGUGGUUUUUUUUACACUACAAUCCAUACUUUUACCCCAAAUAAAACAUGUCGUUUGAUAUAAAGGUCUGAGAAACGGAUGGCGAACCUAACGACACAACUGAAAGUUACAUCUAGAUGUCCAUAUAGUAUUCUACAAUAGAACGGCGUCUUUACAAUCUACCGCCAACAAAAAUACAUGAAGAAAUUGAAGAAAAAAAUCUACCUUUGAAUUAUUUUCACUAACACCAAGAAGAAAAUAUCAAAACACACACAC
This 367-nucleotide long non-coding RNA is filed under the name Mytilus galloprovincialis (Mediterranean mussel). The record is from RNAcentral. Lineage: Eukaryota; Metazoa; Mollusca; Bivalvia; Mytilida; Mytilidae.